This 346-nucleotide unclassified non-coding RNA is filed under the name soil metagenome. Its description in RNAcentral is "partial contains 5.8S ribosomal RNA, internal transcribed spacer 2, and large subunit ribosomal RNA". The stretch from base 1 to 121 matches the Rfam family "5.8S ribosomal RNA", at positions 35 to 154 of the family's 154-position model. The record is from RNAcentral.
GAUGAAGAACGUAGUGAAAUGCGAUAAGUAAUGCGAAUUGCAGAAUUUCCGUGAGUCAUCGAAUCUUUGAACGCACAUUGCGCCCACUGGUAUUCCGGUGGGCAUGCCUGUUCGAGCGUCAUUAUCCUCCCUCAAACCUCGGGUUUGGUGUUGGACCCAAGUUGUGUGAACAACUGGUCUCAAAGACAAUGACGGCGUCCGUGGGACCCUCGGUGCAACGAGCUUUUAGGAGCACGCGUCGAGUUUCAAGGACCUUCCGGGCCGGUCUCCUUUACUAUUUUUACAAGGUUGACCUCGGAUCAGGUAGUAAUACCCGCUGAACUUAAGCAUAUCAAUAAGCGGAGGA